GAUGAACGCUGGCGGCGUGCCUAAUACAUGCAAGUCGAGCGAACAGACGAGGAUCUUGCUCCUCUGACGUUAGCGGCGGACGGGUGAGUAACACGUGUAUAACCUACCUAUAAGACUGGGAUAACUUCGGGAAACCGGAUCUAAUACCGGAUAAUAUAUUGAACCGCAUGGUUCAAUAGUGAAAGACGGUUUUGCUGUCACUUAUAGAUGGAUCCGCGCCGCAUUAGCUAGUUGGUAAGGUAACGGCUUACCAAGGCAACGAUGCGUAGCCGAACUGAGAGGGUGAUCGGCCACCCUGGAACUGGGACAGGGUCCAGACUCCUAAGGGAGGCAGCAGUAGGGAAUCUUCCGCAAUGGGCGAAAGCCUGACGGAGCAACGCCGAGUGAGUGAUGAAGGUCUUCGGAUCGUAAAACUCUGUUAUUAGGGAAGAACAAAUGUGUAAGUAACUAUGCACGUCUUGACGGUACCUAAUCAGAAAGCCACGGCUAACUACGUG
RNAcentral lists this ribosomal RNA (497 nucleotides) under uncultured bacterium. RNAcentral's name for it is "partial 16S ribosomal RNA". It matches the Rfam family "Bacterial small subunit ribosomal RNA", at positions 28 to 507 of the family's 1533-position model. The record is from RNAcentral.